This 67-nucleotide small RNA is filed under the name Lentibacillus halodurans. Its description in RNAcentral is "Bacillaceae-1 RNA". It matches the Rfam family "Bacillaceae-1 RNA". Lineage: Bacteria; Bacillati; Bacillota; Bacilli; Caryophanales; Bacillaceae. The record is from Rfam by way of RNAcentral.
UGACAAGGACCAAAGGCUAAAUUCGCAACGUCCUGUUGCAACGCCUUUGUGGCCUGCAUCGUACAUG